GUAAUAGCUCACUGGUCGAGCGUCUCUGCGCGGAAAAUUUAACGGGGCUAAGAUACAAACCGAAGCUUAGGCUGCACGAAAGUGCGGGGUAGGGGAGCGUUGUGUAAGCGGAGAAACAGUAGCGUAAGCGGCUGUGGAGUUUACAGAAGUGAGAAUGCCGGAAUGAGUAGCGCGAAUGUGGUGAGAAUCCACAUGGCCGGAAACCUCAGGUUUUUGGAGGAAGGUUCGUCCGCUCCAAGUUAGGCGGGAGCUAAGGUCAGGCCGAAAGGCGUAGCCGAUGCACAGACGGUAGAGAUUCCGUCCCCACCGAAAGACUUAAGCACAGGGACACUUUCAGAAGGUCGGAGCCAGGUGUUGGUUCUGGUAGUGAUCGAGGGAAAUAUAGUACCGAAGUCCGGCUGGAAGAGAGGCGAGAAAAGCUGUGUGUAUAUCUAAGGUGCCCGUACCGCAAACCGACACAGGUAGGUAGGAAGAAGAUUCUAAGGCCAACGGGAGAAGGGUUGUUAAGGAACUCGGCAAGUUGACCCCGUAACUUCGGAAUAAGGGGUGCUCACGAGAGUGAGCCGCAGAGAAUAGGCCCAGGCAACUGUUUACCAAAAACACAGGUUUGUGCUAAAUCGAAAGAUGACGUAUACGAGCUGACGCCUGCCCGGUGCUGGAAGGUUAAGAGGAGAUGUGCAAGCAUUGAAUUGAAGCCCCAGUGAACGGCGGCCGUAACUAUAACGGUCCUAAGGUAGCGAAAUUCCUUGUCAGGUAAGUUCUGACCCGCAUGAAAGGCGUAAUGAUUUGGGCACUGUCUCAACAGCCCGCCCGGCGAAAUUGUAGUACCGGUGAAGAUGCCGGUUACCCGCGACAAGACGGAAAGACCCCAUGGAGCUUUACUGUAGCCUGAUAUUGGGUUUCGGUGUUGCAUGCACAGGAUAGAUGGGACGCUGGGAAAGAGUCGCUUUGGCGAUUCUGGAGCGGACGUUGGGAUACCAUCCUUGCGACAUUGGAAUUCUAACCUGCGCCUCUGAAUCGAGGCGGGGGACAUUGUCAGGUGGGCAGUUUGACUGGGGCGGUCGCCUCCUAAAAAGUAGCGGAGGCGUUCAAAGGUUCGUUCGAUCUGGACGGAAACCAGAUGAUUGAGUGCAAACGCAUAAACGAGCCUGACUGCGAGACUGACGGGUCGAGCAGAGACGAAAGUCGGAGUUAGUGAUCCGGUGGUAUGUGAGUGGAAAUGCCAUCGCUCAACGGAUAAAAGUUACCCUGGGGAUAACAGGCUGAUCUCCCCCAAGAGUCCACAUCGACGGGGAGGUUUGGCACCUCGAUGUCGGCUCAUCGCAUCCUGGGGCUGUAUUCGGUCCCAAGGGUUUGGCUGUUCGCCAAUUAAAGCGGUACGCGAGCUGGGUUCAGAACGUCGUGAGACAGUUCGGUCCCUAUCUGUCGUGGGCGCAGGAUAUUUGAAAGGCGCUGUCCCUAGUACGAGAGGACCGGGAUGGACGAACCUCUGGUGCACCAGUUGUCACGCCAGUGGCACAGCUGGGCAGCUAUGUUCGGAUCGGAUAAACGCUGAAAGCAUCUAAGCGUGAAGCCGGCCUUAAGAUAAGAUAUCCCACUGAGUCAAUCAGGUAAGACCCCUUGAAGACUACAAGGUUGAUAGGCACACAGUGUAAGCGGAGUGAUCCGUUCAGCUAGCGUGUACUAAUAGGUCGAGGGCUUGACCC
This 1706-nucleotide ribosomal RNA is filed under the name human gut metagenome. Its description in RNAcentral is "bacterial LSU rRNA". It matches the Rfam family "Bacterial large subunit ribosomal RNA", at positions 1134 to 2925 of the family's 2925-position model. The record is from RNAcentral.